Molecule: ribosomal RNA, 253 nt
Filed under: uncultured bacterium
Lineage: Bacteria
Description: partial 16S ribosomal RNA
Rfam family: Bacterial small subunit ribosomal RNA
Source: RNAcentral
UACGUAGGGUGCAAGCGUUAAUCGGAAUUACUGGGCGUAAAGCGUGCGCAGGCGGCUUUGCAAGACAGAUGUGAAAUCCCCGGGCUCAACCUGGGAACUGCAUUUGUGACUGCAUGGCCAGAGUACGGUAGAGGGGGAUGGAAUUCCGCGUGUAGCAGUGAAAUGCGUAGAUAUGCGGAGGAACACCGAUGGCGAAGGCAAUCCCCUGGACCUGUACUGACGCUCAUGCACGAAAGCGUGGGGAGCAAACAGG